GUGGGUACAGCUCAGUGGUAGAGUGCGUGCUUAGCAUACCCCAGGGCCUGGGUUCAAUCCCCAGUACCUCCA
RNAcentral lists this transfer RNA (72 nucleotides) under Camelus bactrianus (Bactrian camel). It matches the Rfam family "tRNA". Rfam says of the family: Transfer RNA (tRNA) molecules are approximately 80 nucleotides in length. Their secondary structure includes four short double-helical elements and three loops (D, anti-codon, and T loops). The record is from Rfam by way of RNAcentral. Lineage: Eukaryota; Metazoa; Chordata; Mammalia; Artiodactyla; Camelidae. RNAcentral also lists the same sequence under 2 other names.